CGGCUCAAGAACGAACGCUGGCGCAUGCCUAACACAUGCAAGUCGAACGAGACCUUCGGGUCUAGUGGCGCACGGGUGCGUAACACGUGGGAAUUUGCCUCGGGGUAUGGAAUAACUCAGGGAAACUUGAGCUAAUACCAUAUAAUGUCUUCGGACCAAAGAUUUAUCGCCCUGAGAUAAGCCCGCGUAGGAUUAGCUAGUUGGUGGGGUAAAGGCUCACCAAGGCGACGAUCCUUAGCUGGUCUGAGAGGAUGAUCAGCCACACUGGGACUGAGACACGGCCCAGACUCCUACGGGAGGCAGCAGUGGGGAAUAUUGGACAAUGGGCGAAAGCCUGAUCCAGCAAUGCCGCGUGAGUGAUGAAGGCCUUCGGGUUGUAAAGCUCUUUUACUCGGGACGAUAAUGACGGUACCGAGAGAAUAAGCCCCGGCUAACUCCGUG
Molecule: ribosomal RNA, 441 nt
Filed under: uncultured bacterium
Lineage: Bacteria
Description: bacterial SSU rRNA
Rfam family: Bacterial small subunit ribosomal RNA
Source: RNAcentral